UACAGAGGUCUCAAGCGUUGUUCGGAUUCAUUGGGCGUAAAGGGUGCGUAGGCGGCGCGGUAAGUCGGGUGUGAAAUCUUGGAGCUUAACUCCGAAACUGCAUUCGAUACUGCCGUGCUUGAGGACUGGAGAGGAGACUGGAAUUUACGGUGUAGCGGUGAAAUGCGUAGAUAUCAGGAGGAACACCGGUGGCGAAGGCGGGUCUCUGGGCAGUAACUGACGCUGAGGAGCGAAAGCGUGGGGAGCGAACAGG
Molecule: ribosomal RNA, 253 nt
Filed under: uncultured bacterium
Lineage: Bacteria
Description: partial 16S ribosomal RNA
Rfam family: Bacterial small subunit ribosomal RNA
Source: RNAcentral